This 529-nucleotide ribosomal RNA is filed under the name uncultured bacterium. RNAcentral's name for it is "bacterial SSU rRNA". It matches the Rfam family "Bacterial small subunit ribosomal RNA", at positions 27 to 547 of the family's 1533-position model. The record is from RNAcentral.
GAUUGAACGCUGGCGGCAUGCUUUACACAUGCAAGUCGAACGGCAGCAUGGGUGCUUGCACCUGAUGGCGAGUGGCGAACGGGUGAGUAAUGUAUCGGAACAUAUCCGCAAGUGGGGGAUAACGUAGCGAAAGUUACGCUAAUACCGCAUAUUCCCUGAGGGGGAAAGGAGGGGAUCCGCAAGGACCUUUCGCUUACGGAGUGGCCGAUAUCAGAUUAGCUAGUUGGUGGGGUAAAGGCCUACCAAGGCGACGAUCUGUAGCGGGUCUGAGAGGAUGAUCCGCCACACUGGGACUGAGACACGGCCCAGACUCCUACGGGAGGCAGCAGUGGGGAAUUUUGGACAAUGGGGGCAACCCUGAUCCAGCCAUGCCGCGUGAGUGAAGAAGGCCUUCGGGUUGUAAAGCUCUUUCAGGUGGAAAGAAAAGGUUGCGGAUAAUACCUGCAACUGAUGACGGUACCAUCAGAAGAAGCACCGGCUAACUACGUGCCAGCAGCCGCGGUAAUACGUAGGGUGCGAGCGUUAAUCG